This 429-nucleotide ribosomal RNA is filed under the name Chloroflexota bacterium. RNAcentral's name for it is "Chloroflexi bacterium partial 16S ribosomal RNA". It matches the Rfam family "Bacterial small subunit ribosomal RNA", at positions 355 to 776 of the family's 1533-position model. Lineage: Bacteria; Bacillati; Chloroflexota. The record is from RNAcentral.
UGGGGAAUAUUGCACAAUGGGCGCAAGCCUGAUGCAGCCAUGCCGCGUGUAUGAAGAAGGCCUUCGGGUUGUAAAGCACUUUCAGUCGGGAGGAAGGUGUCAAGGUUAAUAACCUUGGCAAUUGACGUUACCGACAGAAGAAGCACCGGCUAACUCCGUGCCAGCAGCCGCGGUAAUACGGAGGGUGCAAGCGUUAAUCGGAAUUACUGGGCGUAAAGCGCACGCAGGCGGUUGAUUGAGUCAGAUGUGAAAUCCCCGGGCUUAACCCGGGAAUUGCAUCUGAUACUGGUCAGCUAGAGUCUUGUAGAGGGGGGUAGAAUUCCAUGUGUAGCGGUGAAAUGCGUAGAGAUGUGGAGGAAUACCGGUGGCGAAGGCGGCCCCCUGGACAAAGACUGACGCUCAGGUGCGAAAGCGUGGGGAGCAAACAGG